AUUUCUGCUCCGCUACGGUACCUACAUAAUUGGUGCAAAGAUUACCAUUGUGUCCCUGAAAAUUUGGAUUCCCCCAAUGCCAAAUUUUUGGUCUUCAUUUCGAGGAGUGUAUUUCAAGAACUGUCUCUCUAAGUUGUAGAUCUGCCGACAGAUCUAACACUGUAGAGUUCUCCACAAGUAGGGCAAUGUGAGUUUAAAGUGGGAGGUUACCUUCGGGAAUUGUUAUCGGGAAGAGUCAGAGAGGAAGGAUGGUUGUGCGGGCAUCAACAUCUUCGUGUGACCCAUUUUCAGCGAAAGGUAUGUGUGCGAUAAUGUUUUAGGAGUAUGUGUUAAUAUCAAUCGAAGUACUUUUUUACUAUUUCCAUAUUUUUUUCGGACGAAAAUACCCUCAAUAUCUUGAAGGAUACAUACUCCUACAAAUCUUCGAAUGGAUCGGAACACAUUUGGGCAAAUCUGUCGCAUACUAUCAGAACAAAGUGGGUUGCGGACUGGCAAGUGUGUUGGGGUUGAGGAACAAGUCGCAAUGUUCAUCAGUGUCCUCGCCUAUCAUCAAAAGAACCGCGUUGUGAAAUUCCAGUUCUGGAGAUCUGGUUCUACGAUUUCGCAUUAUGUUAACUAGGUUCUAGGAGUUGUUCUUAGUCUACAUGGAAUCCUGCUUUCGAGGGCCGUACCCGUUCCCGACGACUGCACCUACUACCGUUGGACGUGGUUUAUAGUGGGUUUAACUAUAGUGACUAUCUUGGCGCGCUUGAUGGUACGCAUAUCAACCUUCUAGUGAGAAACACUGAUAAGCCUCGGUAUCGGACCAAAAAAUGUCAAAGUGCUACCAACACUUUAGUCGUUUGUAACCGGAUCAUGCAGUUCGUGUACAUACUACCAGGUGAGAGGGUUCAGCCGCUGAUUCUCGUGUAUUGUGUGACGCCGUUUGUUGGGCUGAUGGACAUAAGGUUCCAGAAGGUUGUUAUUACCUUUGUGACAACGGAUAUGCCAAUAGCAAGAGAUUCUUGACACCGUACAAGUGUGUCCAUUACCACCUCAAAAAACGGAGUCCUGGGAAUGCGAUGCCGCAAAACUCUAAGGAGAUGUUCAACAUGUGACACACGAAAGCGAGAAAUGUCAUUGAGCGUGCGUUUGCAGUGCUGAAGAUGCUUUGGGGCAUAUUACGUUGUGCCUCUUACUACCCAGUCAAAACUCAAAUAAGGCUUAUUAUGGCAUGUUGUUUGUUGCAUAAUUUCAUCCGUCGCGAAAUGGCGAUUGAUCCUAUUGAAGCCCAACUUGAUAGAUGUGUUGACUACAACUCAAACCUAUGUGACGGCGGUGUACCCGACCAUGUCGAGUCGGUCGAGCCGUCGGCGGAAUGGUCACAGUUUCAUGACAAUUUAGUUGGUAUGAUGUGGGCUAAUAGAUAUCGUGCAUGAAUAGGAAAUUUGUUCCCUAGGUCUUUUGGUUGGUAGAACGAUAUUGCCUGUACCUGAAUCAUGUGUUGCACUUUAUUUUUCGAUCAUUCACUCAUACGCAUAUUGUUUGUUUUCAUAUUGCUAACUUUUUUUGGCAGUCAUCCUUAUCCAUUAUGCGAAUAGAAGAUAACACCCCACAGUGUUGUUGUGGUAAUGGGAGGAUGGUCAUGCGUUGUACAGGGAGAGCGGCGAAUAAUGCAGAACAAUACUACUAUAACUGUCCGGUUAAUGGAGACCACCAAGGGUCGUUCAAGUGGUGUGAUGAGUGGGAUGAAAGCCAUCAUGCCGCAACCUAUGGUCGUCCCUCCAAACUGACCAACCGGGUCCCUAUUAUUGCAAAACGUCGUGAUGAAUGUGAUGAUGACAUUGUUCCUUGCCGUGAAUGUUUCCCAAACAUUAAUAACACGGGGAUAGCGUCGACAUUUGACACUUGCAUUUAUGUCUUUGGUGCUCGUCUUACUUGGAAUUGUAAUUGAGAAAUUGUGUUAGGUGUAUUUCUAACAUGUAUGAAAUGCAAAAUAUUUCACUACGCAUUAAAUGACGAAUAGAUUGUUAAAAA
Salvia splendens (bonfire salvia) is the source of this 2016-nucleotide long non-coding RNA. RefSeq lists it as uncharacterized. The record is from RefSeq and is a predicted model, not a curated record. The transcript has 4 exons. Lineage: Eukaryota; Viridiplantae; Streptophyta; Magnoliopsida; Lamiales; Lamiaceae.